This 442-nucleotide ribosomal RNA is filed under the name uncultured bacterium. RNAcentral describes it as "partial 16S ribosomal RNA". It matches the Rfam family "Bacterial small subunit ribosomal RNA", at positions 338 to 795 of the family's 1533-position model. The record is from RNAcentral.
CCUACGGGAGGCAGCAGUAGGGAAUCUUUCACAAUGGGCGAAAGCCUGAUGGAGCAACGCCGCGUGCAGGAAGAAGGCCUUCGGGUUGUAAACUGCUUUUAUUAGCGAGAAAUAUGAUGGUUACUUAUGAAUAAGGAUUGGCUAACUACGUGUCAGCAGCUGCGGUCAUACGUAGGAUCCGCGCAUUAUCCGGAGUGACUGUGUGUAAAGAGUUGCGUAGGUGGUAUAAUAAGUAGCUAGUGAAAUGUGAUGGCUCAACCAUUCAGACUAUUAGCUAAACUGUUAAGCUCGAGACCGUUAGGGGUGACUGGAAUUUCUAGUGUAGGAGUGAAAUCCGUAGAUAUUAGAAAGAACACCAAUAGCGUAGGCAGGUUACUGGGACGGUUCUGACACUAAGGCACGAAAGCGUAGGGAGCAAACGGGAUUAGAUACCCCGGUAGUC